This 498-nucleotide ribosomal RNA is filed under the name uncultured bacterium. RNAcentral describes it as "partial 16S ribosomal RNA". It matches the Rfam family "Bacterial small subunit ribosomal RNA", at positions 28 to 523 of the family's 1533-position model. The record is from RNAcentral.
GAUGAACGCUAGCGGCAGGCUUAAUACAUGCAAGUCGAACGGGAUUGAGAAGCUUGCUUUUCAUGAGAGUGGCGCACGGGUGCGUAACACGUAUGCAACCUGCCUUGUCCAGGGGGAUAGCCCGUUGAAAGACGGAUUAAGACCGCAUAACAUCAUUGAAUGGCAUCGUUUAAUGAUCAAAUAUUUAUAGGGACAAGAUGGGCAUGCGUCUGAUUAGCUAGUUGGCGGGGUAAUGGCCCACCAAGGCGACGAUCAGUAGGGGAUCUGAGAGGAUGACCCCCCACACUGGUACUGAGACACGGACCAGACUCCUACGGGAGGCAGCAGUAAGGAAUAUUGGUCAAUGGGCGCAAGCCUGAACCAGCCAUGCCGCGUGCAGGAAGACGGCCCUACGGGUUGUAAACUGCUUUUAUACGGGAAUAACCCCGGUUUCGUGAAACCGGCUGAAUGUACCGUAAGAAUAAGGAUCGGCUAACUCCGUGCCAGCAGCCGCCGCAG